UAGCUAGUUGGUGAGGUAAAGGCUUACCAAGGCGACGAUCUGUAGCGGGUCUGAGAGGAUGAUCCGCCACACUGGAACUGAGACACGGUCCAGACUCCUACGGGAGGCAGCAGUGGGGAAUUUUGGACAAUGGGGGCAACCCUGAUCCAGCCAUGCCGCGUGAGUGAAGAAGGCCUUCGGGUUGUAAAGCUCUUUCGGCCGGGAAGAAAUCGCAUGGGCCAAUACCCUGUGUGGAUGACGGUACCGGAAUAAGAAGCACCGGCUAACUACGUGCCAGCAGCCGCGGUAAUACGUAGGGUGCGAGCGUUAAUCGGAAUUACUGGGCGUAAAGCGUGCGCAGGCGGUUUUGUAAGACAGGCGUGAAAUCCCCGGGCUUAACCUGGGAACUGCGUUUGUGACUGCAAGGCUAGAGUACGGCAGAGGGGGGUGGAAUUCCACGUGUAGCAGUGAAAUGCGUAGAGAUGUGGAGGAACACCAAUGGCGAAGGCAGCCCCCUGGGUCGAUACUGACGCUCAUGCACGAAAGCGUGGGUAGCAAACAGGAUUAGAUACCCUGGUAGUCCACGCCCUAAACUAUGUCAACUAGGUGUUGGGUGGGUAAAACCAUUUAGUACCGUAGCUAACGCGUGAAGUUGACCGCCUGGGGAGUACGGCCGCAAGGUUAAAACUCAAAGGAAUUGACGGGGACCCGCACAAGCGGUGGAUGAUGUGGAUUAAUUCGAUGCAACGCGAAAAACCUUACCUACCCUUGACAUGCCAGGAACUUGCCAGAGAUGGCUUGGUGCCCGAAAGGGAGCCUGGACACAGGUGCUGCAUGGCUGUCGUCAGCUCGUGUCGUGAGAUGUUGGGUUAAGUCCCGCAACGAGCGCAACCCUUGUCGUUAAUUGCCAUCAUUUAGUUGGGCACUUUAACGAGACUGCCGGUGACAAACCGGAGGAAGGUGGGGAUGACGUCAAGUCCUCAUGGCCCUUAUGGGUAGGGCUUCACACGUCAUACAAUGGUUGGUACAAAGGGUUGCCAAGCCGCGAGGCGGAGCCAAUCCCAGAAAGCCGAUCGUAGUCCGGAUUGCAGGCUGCAACUCGCCUGCAUGAAUUCGGAAUCGCUAGUAAUCGUGGAUCAGCAUGUCACGGUGAAUACGUUCCCGGGUCUUGUACACACCGCCCGUCACACCAUGGGAGCGGGUUCCGCCAGAAGUAGGUAGCCUAACCGCAAGGGGGGCGCUUACCACGGCGGGGUUCGUGACUGGGGUGAAGUCGGAACAAGGUAGCCGUAGGGGAACCUGCGGCUG
This 1287-nucleotide ribosomal RNA is filed under the name metagenome. RNAcentral describes it as "bacterial SSU rRNA". It matches the Rfam family "Bacterial small subunit ribosomal RNA", at positions 242 to 1520 of the family's 1533-position model. The record is from RNAcentral.